RNAcentral lists this ribosomal RNA (254 nucleotides) under uncultured bacterium. RNAcentral's name for it is "partial 16S ribosomal RNA". It matches the Rfam family "Bacterial small subunit ribosomal RNA", at positions 524 to 777 of the family's 1533-position model. The record is from RNAcentral.
UACGAAGGGGGCUAGCGUUGCUCGGAAUUACUGGGCGUAAAGGGCGCGUAGGCGGACAGUUUAGUCAGAGGUGAAAGCCCAGGGCUCAACCCUGGAAUUGCCUUUGAUACUGACUGUCUUGAGUACGGGAGAGGUGUGUGGAACUCCGAGUGUAGAGGUGAAAUUCGUAGAUAUUCGGAAGAACACCAGUGGCGAAGGCGACACACUGGCCCGUUACUGACGCUGAGGCGCGAAAGCGUGGGGAGCAAACAGGG